CCUACGGGAGGCAGCAGUGAGGAAUAUUGGUCAAUGGACGAGAGUCUGAACCAGCCAAGUAGCGUGAAGGAUGACUGCCCUAUGGGUUGUAAACUUCUUUUAUAUGGGAAUAAAAUGUUCCACGUGUGAGAUUUUGUGUACCCUAUAAAUAAAAGUCGCCUAACUCCGUGCCAGCAGCCGCGGUGAUACGGGGGGUCCGCGCGUUUUUCGGAGUUAUUGGGGUUAAAGGGGGCGUAGGUGGAUUGUUAAGUCAGUUGUGAAAGUUUGCGGCCCAACCGUAAAAUUGCAGUUGAAACUGGCAGUCUUGAGUACAGUAGAGGUGGGCGGAAUUCGUGGUGUAGCGGUGAAAUGCUUAGAUAUCACGAAGAACUCCGAUUGCGAAGGCAGCUUACUGGACUGCAACUGACACUGAGGCUCGAAAGCGUGGGUAUCAAACAGGAUUAGAUACCCGGGUAGUC
RNAcentral lists this ribosomal RNA (458 nucleotides) under uncultured bacterium. RNAcentral's name for it is "partial 16S ribosomal RNA". It matches the Rfam family "Bacterial small subunit ribosomal RNA", at positions 338 to 795 of the family's 1533-position model. The record is from RNAcentral.